Gorilla gorilla gorilla (western lowland gorilla) is the source of this 116-nucleotide ribosomal RNA. NCBI's taxonomy places the organism in Eukaryota, Metazoa, Chordata, Mammalia, Primates, Hominidae. The record is from Rfam.
NNNNAUGGCCAUACCACCCUGAACGCAUCCAAUCUCAUCUGAUCACAGAAGCUAAGCAGCGUCAGACCUGGUUAGCAUUUGGAUGAGAGAAAUGAGGAUUGUGGCAACUAUUAGAU